Molecule: long non-coding RNA, 311 nt
Organism: Oncorhynchus tshawytscha (Chinook salmon)
Lineage: Eukaryota; Metazoa; Chordata; Actinopteri; Salmoniformes; Salmonidae
Source: Ensembl
CAGAGAUGGUGGAGUGAUGUUCUGACUGGGGGGCUACAGGCUACAGUCAGAGAUGGUGGAGUGAUGUUCUGACUGGGGGGCUACAGGCUACAGUCAGAGACAGGGGAGUGAUGUGUUGACUGGGGGCUACAGGCUACAGUCAGAGACAGGGGAGUGAUGUGUUGACUGGGGGGCUACAGGCUACAGUCAGAGACAGGGGAGUGAUGUUCUGACUGGGGGCUACAGGCUACAGUCAGAGACAGUGGAGUGAUGUGUUGACUGGGGGGCUACAGGCUACAGUCAGAGACAGGGGAGUGAUGUGUUGACUGGGG